This 522-nucleotide ribosomal RNA is filed under the name Triticum aestivum (bread wheat). RNAcentral describes it as "partial small subunit ribosomal RNA". The record is from RNAcentral. Lineage: Eukaryota; Viridiplantae; Streptophyta; Magnoliopsida; Poales; Poaceae.
AUGAUAGAUGUAGCGAUUGCUUCACUAACCAAAAGAUUUGAGGAUUUGAAGUCAUUUGAAAGUAUAUUUGGUUUCUUGUUCAACUCCAAAAAGUUGAAGUCUUUGGAUGAUAAAGAACUUACAGAAUGUUGCACUAAAUUUUCAAAUACGUAUUCUCAUGGUAGCUCGUCAGAUGUUAAUUUAGAUGAUUUCUGUUCUGAACUAAGAGUGCUUCAAAUGACUUUACCGAAUAGAUUAAUGUCAGCAGAUGAGAUUUUUGAUUUUGUUAGAGCUGCAGAUUGCUAUCAAAAUGUUUCCAUUGCUUAUCGAAUCCUCUUAACUGUUCCUGUUACUAUAGCAUCUGCUGAAAGAAGUUUUUCAAAACUAAAAUUACUAAAGAACUAUUUGAGAUCAACUAUGUCACAAGAGAGAUUGAAUGGCUUGGCCAUGUGCUGUAUUGAGAAAGAUAUGUUGGACAACAUUGAUCUUGACACUAUUAUUAGUGAUUUUGCCUCUAAAAAUGUGGCUCCUGAUGUUUGCUGA